GACGAACCGUGCGAACGUUGUUCGGAAUCACUGGGCUUAAAGGGCGCGUAGGCGGGCCACCCAGUCCGGGGUGAAAUCUUUCGGCUCAACCGGAAAAGGGCCUUGGAUACUGGUGGUCUGGAGGAAGGUAGGGGCAUGCGGAACUUCCGGUGGAGCGGUGAAAUGCGUUGAUAUCGGAAGGAACGCCGGUGGCGAAAGCGGCGUGCUGGACCUUUGCUGACGCUGAUGCGCGAAAGCCAGGGGAGCGAACGGG
This 253-nucleotide ribosomal RNA is filed under the name uncultured bacterium. RNAcentral describes it as "partial 16S ribosomal RNA". It matches the Rfam family "Bacterial small subunit ribosomal RNA", at positions 524 to 776 of the family's 1533-position model. The record is from RNAcentral.